GACGUAGGGGGCCAGCGUUGUUCGGAAUUACUGGGUGUAAAGGGUUCGUAGGCGGUGUAGCAAGUCGGGAGUGAAAUCUCUGGGCUUAACCCAGAGGCUGCUUCCGAAACUGCUGUGCUUGAGUGUGGGAGAGGCGCGUGGAAUUGCAGGUGUAGCGGUGAAAUGCGUAGAUAUCGGGAGGAACACCAGUGGCGAAGGCGAGUCUCUGGGAUGAUGCUGACGCUGAGGCGCGAAAGCCAGGGGAGCAAACGGG
RNAcentral lists this ribosomal RNA (253 nucleotides) under uncultured bacterium. RNAcentral's name for it is "partial 16S ribosomal RNA". It matches the Rfam family "Bacterial small subunit ribosomal RNA", at positions 524 to 776 of the family's 1533-position model. The record is from RNAcentral.